Cervus elaphus (red deer) is the source of this 1184-nucleotide long non-coding RNA. RefSeq lists it as uncharacterized. The transcript is spliced from 4 exons. The record is from RefSeq and is a predicted model, not a curated record. NCBI's taxonomy places the organism in Eukaryota, Metazoa, Chordata, Mammalia, Artiodactyla, Cervidae.
CCUCUCCCUCUUAAGCCUUCCUCCUCUGCCCAUCGAAUCCCUCUAGGUCAUCACAGAGCAGCAGAUCGCAUCCCUGUGCGUACAGUGACUUCCCCCUAGCUAUAUAUUUUACACACGUGCCAAUGCUGCUUUUCCAGUCCAUCCCACCUUCUCCUUCCCCCGCUGUGUCCACAGGCCCGUCCUCUACAUCUGCAUCUCCAUUCCUUCCCUGAAACGCUACGUGACAUGCUAGACCCUAGUUCCCCAACCAGGGAUCAAACCCAUGCCCUCUGCAGUGGAAACACAGACUGUUAACCACUGGACCGCCAGGGAAGUCCUGAGUGGCAGUGUUUUAAUAAGACCUUGUAUACACAGACUUCAUGUAUACACAAAACUCCAAUACUUUGGCCACCUGAUGCGAAGAGCUGACCCAUUGGAACAGUCCCUGAUGCCGGGAAAGACUGAAGGAUUAAUGUCAGACUAUGCCCUUUGGGCAGGAAUACGGAUGGUGCCAUGUUCUCACGUGUAUGUCACAUCACGGGGCCCACACUCCGGCUGGCCCCGUUGUUGGGGAAUCUCUCUCUAGAUGCAGAGGUCUUGAUGAAAUGGGAAGAGUUCUGGACUGAGAAUACGCUGGUGUGUGCAAAGUGAGGUUAUAUCUGAAAGAAAGCUAAAACUGAUGAAUUUGCAAUUAGAAGUGAAUUUAAUGACAAUAGUUCUUCAACAAAGAAAGACCAAACUGACACCUCUAAGAUGCCACAUCAGAGACGUCUCCACUCAAAAUAGCUUCACAACAGACUGGUUCUCACAUCUUUACUAAUAAACACAAGAUCUCAUCACCAAUGCUUGUGGUGAGGAUUUCACAAUGAUUGGGGGUGUCGUGGCUCAUUUGUGAACCAGAUGUGUCUAAACUGAAAUCUGAAAAUUCUCACUUGGUAAACAGGAUGAUGAAAGCUGGACGUGAAGCGGCCUUGUGGAGGUAUAAGCGUGAAAGAACUGUUUACACGUUUUUGGAGCUCAAAUUUGGGACAGUUGUUAUUUUACAAGAUUGAGAUUUUCCUUUAUUUACCUGGUGUCUAACUUGGUUCUCAAAUUGUAGUUCAGUUUUAUCCAUGGCAACAAAAACUAGCGUUUGAGAAUGAAGCUUUUAUUUGUUGGGGAAAUGAAAGCCAAAUCAUCUUGUUUGUUUUGGAUACUCAUAAAGA